UACGAAGGGGGCUAGCGUUGUUCGGAAUUACUGGGCGUAAAGGGCGCGUAGGCGGCUUCGAUAGUCAGGCGUGAAAGGCCUGGGCUCAACCCAGGAACUGCGCUUGAUACUGUGAGGCUAGAGUGUGGGAGAGGAUGGUGGAAUUCCCAGUGUAGAGGUGAAAUUCGUAGAUAUUGGGAAGAACACCGGUGGCGAAGGCGACCAUCUGGACCACUACUGACGCUGAGGCGCGAAGGCGUGGGGAGCAAACAGG
Molecule: ribosomal RNA, 253 nt
Filed under: uncultured bacterium
Lineage: Bacteria
Description: partial 16S ribosomal RNA
Rfam family: Bacterial small subunit ribosomal RNA
Source: RNAcentral